Molecule: ribosomal RNA, 750 nt
Filed under: uncultured Gammaproteobacteria bacterium
Lineage: Bacteria; Pseudomonadati; Pseudomonadota; Gammaproteobacteria
Description: bacterial SSU rRNA
Rfam family: Bacterial small subunit ribosomal RNA
Source: RNAcentral
UGCUUAACACAUGCAAGUCGAACGGUAACAGGCCUUCGGGCGCUGACGAGUGGCGGACGGGUGAGUAACGCGUAGGAAUCUGCCUCAUAGUGGGGGACAACGUGGGGAAACUCACGCUAAUACCGCAUACGCCCUACGGGGGAAAGGAGGGGAUCUUCGGACCUUUCGCUAUGAGAUGAGCCUGCGUUAGAUUAGCUAGUUGGUAGGGUAAAGGCCUACCAAGGCGACGAUCUAUAGCUGGUCUGAGAGGACGAUCAGCCACACUGGGACUGAGACACGGCCCAGACUCCUACGGGAGGCAGCAGUGGGGAAUAUUGGACAAUGGGCGAAAGCCUGAUCCAGCAAUACCGCGUGUGUGAAGAAGGCCUUAGGGUUGUAAAGCACUUUCAAUUGGGAGGAAAACCUGCCGGCCAAUACCCGGUAGCUUGACAUUACCUUUAGAAGAAGCACCGGCUAACUCCGUGCCAGCAGCCGCGGUAAUACGGAGGGUGCGAGCGUUAAUCGGAAUUACUGGGCGUAAAGCGUGCGUAGGCGGUUCGUUAAGUCAGAUGUGAAAGCCCUGGGCUCAACCUGGGAACUGCAUUUGAAACUGGCGGACUAGGGUUUAGUAGAGGGGAGUGGAAUUUCAGGUGUAGCGGUGAAAUGCGUAGAUAUCUGAAGGAACACCAGUGGCGAAGGCGACUCCCUGGACUAGAACUGACGCUGAGGUACGAAAGCGUGGGUAGCAAACAGGAUUAGAUACCCUGGUAG